CUUGGCCACCACACUCUCAUGGCUUCCUCUGGUCUGAUUGUUUCACUGCCAGGUUUCCAACCAGCAGGGCAAACUUCUCCAUGCUUGUCCGUGUAUUGGAAUGCUUGUACCAAACGAAGCGUUUCAUCCACUGAUCUCCCCACAGGAAGGUCAUUCAUGGUGAUCUGUCGAAGGAUUCUCUUAUCGUCAAUUAUGAAAAGGCCCCUAAGUGCAUGUCCUUGAUCUUCCAGAUAUACACCAUAGUCCUUGGAAAUCUGGUGUGUUAAAUCUGAAAGAAGCGGAAUCUUCAUUGGUCCGAGUCCUCCUUGUUUUCGAGGAGUAUUAAUCCAUGCUAAGUGAGUGAACUUGGAGUCCACGGAACAUGCUACUACUUCGGUGUUUAUUGCUCUGAAUUCCUCAAUUCUGUCACUGAAGGCGAUUAUCUCAGUGGGACAUACAAACGUGAAGUCAAGGGGAUAGAAGAAGAAGACAAGAUAUUUUCCUUCAUAAUCUGUUAAUUUCAGCUCUUUAAACUCUCCAUUAAUGACCGCUGUUCCUUCCCAGUAAGGCGCUGGCUUCGAGAUCUUGGCCUGGCUGAGGUGCAGCGAGUGGUCGGUGACGGGCACGCGGGCCGCCUCCCCGGGGUAGACCUGUCCCCCCGCGUAGUAGUGGCACUGCUCGUCCCCGCGCUGCCGCGGCGGCCGCGGCUCCUCCGCCUCCGCCCCCAUCGCCCCGUGCAGCAGCAAGGCCAGCAGCAGCGCGCGGCUCCCGACCCCCGCCCGCGGCCCCCGCCGAGCCGCCUCCAUGGCCCGCCGAUCGAGUGCACGUCCCCGCCGCGCGGCGCGGAGGGGCGGUGGCGGGGAGGAGCUUGGCCGCCCUCCGGCGCCCGUAGGGCCCCGGCAUCGCCUCACGGCGCUGCGCCGCCAGGGGGAGCGGCUCCGCCCCGCCGUGGGACCGCGGGGUCGGUGGUUCUGACCUUGUGGUUGCUUGACCGCCGCAGGGGGUGUGGUGCGUUGUGUACUUCUCUAGAGAGAAAGAAUAAAGAGGUAUUUGGGGAGGGAGAGCGUGCGUGCGGUGCGUGAUUGCAGAAGGGAAC
This 1075-nucleotide long non-coding RNA is filed under the name Gallus gallus (chicken). Lineage: Eukaryota; Metazoa; Chordata; Aves; Galliformes; Phasianidae. The record is from RNAcentral.